AUGCAGGACUGGAAGUAAGCAUUUAUUCUCUCUUUGUUGAGUUUAGUCUUAAAUCUCUGCUUGAUGAUUGAUUUACAGCUUUAAUAAGACCUGUAUGCAAUUAUGGGGUUCAUGACAGCAAAUUUUUUUUUGUUAUAUUUUAUUUUUUUCAAAUAACUACUAUAGGAGACUAAAGAAGGGUUAUUUUUGGCAUGCCACGUCAUAAGCUAUAAUUUUUUAUUGUUAAAAUUGGACGUAAUUUCUCCCUGAAGAAUCAUUUAAUAUUCCAUUUUCUCUGAAUUCCAUAUCAUCAUAAAAUCAUCAUUGUUUCACGUAGCAAUAAACCAGUAAUGCUUGUUAUCCUUUGUUGAAACUGACUUCUAACUAAUUUAUGCUCUGUUAGAUCCUUGCAAUUCCAGAAUUCCAUUAACUUAAAACUGACUUCUAUUGCAAUUCCAGAAUUCCAUUAACUUAAAACUGACUUCUAUCAUCAUAGACUCAUCAUUGUUUCAU
RNAcentral lists this unclassified non-coding RNA (492 nucleotides) under Hevea brasiliensis (rubber tree). The record is from RNAcentral. Lineage: Eukaryota; Viridiplantae; Streptophyta; Magnoliopsida; Malpighiales; Euphorbiaceae.